This 338-nucleotide unclassified non-coding RNA is filed under the name Hevea brasiliensis (rubber tree). Lineage: Eukaryota; Viridiplantae; Streptophyta; Magnoliopsida; Malpighiales; Euphorbiaceae. The record is from RNAcentral.
GAAUGAAAUAUGAGGCACCGUCCCACUCAAAUUGUUAUGGGAAAUAUUUAGAUAGUAAGGAGCAAAAGACAAGUCCCAGAACCACCUGGGAAUGGAAUCAGAAAUUCCAGAGUCAGAGAUAUCCAGCCAAUAAUAAUUCUUCUGAGUCCUGAGCCAUUUAGGGAAAUGAGGUCCCAAAUUGCAGGAUGGAAGACUUAAUGUUUCUAGACGAAAUGGAGGAACCCAGUCGAGACUCACAUUCCAAAUGAGGGAGUUACCAGAUAAAUCCAACUCUUUCAAGUUGGACAGAUUUGAAAAAUGGUCUUCGGAUAUGACUCCAUUUAAUGAAUUCCAAUCAA